RNAcentral lists this ribosomal RNA (493 nucleotides) under uncultured bacterium. Its description in RNAcentral is "bacterial SSU rRNA". It matches the Rfam family "Bacterial small subunit ribosomal RNA", at positions 903 to 1397 of the family's 1533-position model. The record is from RNAcentral.
AAAGGAAUAGACGGGGGCCCGCACAAGCAGCGGAGCAUGUGGUUUAAUUCGAAGCAACGCGAAGAACCUUACCAGGUCUUGACAUCCAUUUAAAGCCUGAGAGAUCAGGUGUCUCGCAAGAGGAAAUGAGACAGGUGGUGCAUGGUUGUCGUCAGCUCGUGUCGUGAGAUGUUGGGUUAAGUCCCGCAACGAGCGCAACCCUUACAUUCAGUUGCCAGCAUUAGGGUGGGCACUCUGGAUGGACUGCCGUGGAUAACACGGAGGAAGGUGGGGACGACGUCAAAUCAUCAUGCCCCUUACGACCUGGGCUACACACGUGCUACAAUGGCCACAGACAGAGGGCAGCGAAGUCGCAAGACGGAGCCAAUCCCAGAAAAGUGGUCUCAGUUCGGAUCGUGGGCUGCAACCCGCCCACGUGAAGCCGGAGUUGCUAGUAAUCGCGAAUCAGCAUGUCGCGGUGAAUACGUUCCCGGGCCUUGUACACACCGCCCGU